Molecule: ribosomal RNA, 1000 nt
Filed under: Hermatomyces subiculosus
Lineage: Eukaryota; Fungi; Ascomycota; Dothideomycetes; Pleosporales; Hermatomycetaceae
Description: SSU rRNA
Rfam family: Eukaryotic small subunit ribosomal RNA
Source: RNAcentral
CUGCGAAUGGCUCAUUAAAUCAGUUAUCGUUUAUUUGAUAGUACCUUACUACUUGGAUAACCGUGGUAAUUCUAGAGCUAAUACAUGCUAAAAACCCCGACUUCGGGAGGGGUGUAUUUAUUAGAUAAAAAACCAAUGCCCUUCGGGGCUCUUUGGUGAUUCAUGAUAACUUAACGGAUCGCAUGGCCUUGCGCCGGCGACGGUUCAUUCAAAUUUCUGCCCUAUCAACUUUCGAUGGUAAGGUAUUGGCUUACCAUGGUUUCAACGGGUAACGGGGAAUUAGGGUUCGAUUCCGGAGAGGGAGCCUGAGAAACGGCUACCACAUCCAAGGAAGGCAGCAGGCGCGCAAAUUACCCAAUCCCGACUCGGGGAGGUAGUGACAAUAAAUACUGAUACAGGGCUCUUUUGGGUCUUGUAAUCGGAAUGAGUACAAUUUAAACCCCUUAACGAGGAACAAUUGGAGGGCAAGUCUGGUGCCAGCAGCCGCGGUAAUUCCAGCUCCAAUAGCGUAUAUUAAAGUUGUUGCAGUUAAAAAGCUCGUAGUUGAACCUUGGGCCUGGCUGGCCGGUCCGCCUCACCGCGUGUACUGGUCCGGCCGGGCCUUUCCUUCUGGAGAGCCGCAUGCCCUUCACUGGGUGUGUUGGGGAACCAGGACUUUUACUUUGAAAAAAUUAGAGUGUUCAAAGCAGGCCUUUGCUCGAAUACGUUAGCAUGGAAUAAUAGAAUAGGACGUGCGGUCCUAUUUUGUUGGUUUCUAGGACCGCCGUAAUGAUUAAUAGGGAUAGUCGGGGGCAUCAGUAUUCAAUUGUCAGAGGUGAAAUUCUUGGAUUUAUUGAAGACUAACUACUGCGAAAGCAUUUGCCAAGGAUGUUUUCAUUAAUCAGUGAACGAAAGUUAGGGGAUCGAAGACGAUCAGAUACCGUCGUAGUCUUAACCGUAAACUAUGCCGACUAGGGAUCGGGCGAUGUUUCUAUCUUGACUCGCUCGGCACCUUACGAGA